This 2836-nucleotide ribosomal RNA is filed under the name Roseburia sp. 1XD42-69. Its description in RNAcentral is "bacterial LSU rRNA". It matches the Rfam family "Bacterial large subunit ribosomal RNA". Lineage: Bacteria; Bacillati; Bacillota; Clostridia; Lachnospirales; Lachnospiraceae. The record is from RNAcentral.
AUGGUCAAGCAAGUAAGGGCGCAGGGUGGAUGCCUUGGCACUAAGAGCCGAAGAAAGACGUGAUAAGCUGCGAAAAGCCAUGGGGAGGAGCACAUAUCCAACGAUCCAUGGAUAUCUGAAUGGGGAAACCCACACGGUGAAGCCGUGUAUCCAUACGCCAAUUCAUAACGUAUGGAGGGGAACCCGGUGAACUGAAACAUCUAAGUAGCCGGAGGAAGAGAAAGAAACAUCGAUUCCGGAAGUAGCGGCGAGCGAAACCGGAAGAGCCCAAACCGGGAUGCGUGCAUCCCGGGGUUCGGACCGCAGAAGCGAUUCAUGGAAUUUAGCAGAAUGGUUUUGGGAAAGCCAGCCAGAGAGGGUGAAAGCCCCGUAAGCAAAAAAGGACAUGACGCGGCGGUAUCCAGAGUACAUCGAGACACGAGAAACCUUGAUGGAAUGAGCGGGGACCACCCCGUAAGGCUAAAUACUCCUUAGUGACCGAUAGAGCAUAGUACUGUGAAGGAAAGGUGAAAAGGACCCCGGGAGGGGAGUGAAAGAGAACCUGAAACCCUGUGUCUACAAACUGUGGGACACCAACAUUAGGUGAACUGCGUACUUUUUGUAGAACGGUCCGGCGAGUUGCGGAUGCAGGCAAGGUUAAGCGCUACAGGCGCGGAGCCGAAGGGAAACCAAGUCUUAAUAGGGCGUUAAGUCGGCAUACGCAGACCCGAAACCGGGUGAUCUAUCCAUGUCCAGGUUGAAGAUGCCGUAAAAGGCAUUGGAGGACCGAACCCACAUCCGUUGAAAAGGGUGGGGAUGAGGUGUGGAUAGGGGAGAAAUUCCAAUCGAACCCGGAGAUAGCUGGUUCUCCUCGAAAUAGCUUUAGGGCUAGCCUCGUAUGAGUCUUGUGGAGGUAGAGCACUGAAUUUCCGCGGGGGCGUCAAAGCUUACCAAAGAAUAUCAAACUCCGAAUGCCAUAAAGACGUUAUACGGGAGUCAGACUGGACGAGAUAAGUCGGGCAGUCAAAAGGGAAAGAGCCCAGACCUGCAGCUAAGGUCCCAAAGUGUGCAUUAAGUGGAAAAGGAUGUGGGGAUUCAAAGACAGCUAGGAUGUUGGCUCAGAAGCAGCCAUACAUUCAAAGAGUGCGUAACAGCUCACUAGUCGAGAGUCCCUGCGCCGAAAAUGUCCGGGGCUAAAAUGCACCACCGAAGCUCAGGAAUGUAUUAAUACAUUGGUAGAGGAGCAUUCUUAAAACUGAUGAAGCCGUACCGGAAGGGGCGGUGGAGGGAUAAGAAGAGAGAAUGCCGGAAUGAGUAGCGAGAGGAAGGUGGGAAUCCUUCCGGCCGAAUAUCUAAGGUUUCCAGGGUAAAGCUGAUCUGCCCUGGGUAAGUCGGGGCCUAAGGCGAGGCAGAAAUGCGUAGCCGAUGGACAACAGGUUGAGAUUCCUGUACCGUCUAUGGACAGAACUGUGGGGACGCGGAAGGAAAGUGUGAGCCGGGAAUGGAAAGACCGGUACAAGCGCAGGAGGCGUGCAGCCGGCAAAUCCGCUGCAUAAGCCAAAGGCGUUAAGUGGAGCGAAAUAUAAGUAGCGAAGCACACAGGCCGGCCGCCGAGAAAAGCCGCUAUAGUUUCAUAGAUGCCCGUACCGUAAACCGACACAGGUGGAUGAGGAGAGAAUCCUAAGGCCGACGGAAGAAGCAUUGUUAAGGAAUUCGGCAAAAUGGCCCCGUAACUUCGGGAGAAGGGGCGCCUGGGAAACCAGGCCGCAGAGAAUAGGCUCAAGCAACUGUUUAGCAAAAACACAGGUCUAUGCGAAACCGUAAGGUGAGGUAUAUGGGCUGACGCCUGCCCGGUGCUGGAAGGUUAAGAGGAGAGGUCAGCGCAAGCGAAGCUUUGAAUUUAAGCCCCAGUAAACGGCGGCCGUAACUAUAACGGUCCUAAGGUAGCGAAAUUCCUUGUCGGGUAAGUUCCGACCCGCACGAAAGGCGUAAUGAUUUGAGCACUGUCUCGACAAUGCAUCCGGUGAAAUUGAAGUGCCAGUGAAGAUGCUGGCUACCCGCGCCAGGACGGAAAGACCCCAUGGAGCUUUACUCCAGUCUGAUACUGGGAUUUGGUACUGCAUGUACAGGAUAGGUGGGAGGCUGUGAAGGAAGGACGCCAGUCUUUCCAGAGCCGCUGUUGGGAUACCACCCUUGCAGUACCGGGUUUCUAACCAGCGCCCGUAAGCCGGGGCUGGGACAAUGUCAGGCGGGGAGUUUGACUGGGGCGGUCGCCUCCGAAAGGGUAUCGGAGGCGCUCAAAGGUUCCCUCAGAAUGGUCGGAAACCAUUUAAAGAGUGCAAAGGCAGAAGGGAGCUUGACUGCGACACCGACGGGUGGAGCAGGUAGGAAACUAGGACUUAGUGAUCCGGUGGUAUAAAGUGGGAUUGCCAUCGCUCAACGGAUAAAAGCUACCCUGGGGAUAACAGGCUUAUCACUCCCAAGAGUUCACAUCGACGGAGUGGUUUGGCACCUCGAUGUCGGCUCAUCGCAUCCUGGGGCUGUAGCAGGUCCCAAGGGUUGGGCUGUUCGCCCAUUAAAGCGGUACGCGAGCUGGGUUCAGAACGUCGUGAGACAGUUCGGUCCCUAUCCGGCGCGGGCGCAGGAUAUUUGAAAGGAGCUGGCCUUAGUACGAGAGGACCGGGCUGGACGGACCACUGGUGUACCUGCUGUCUUACCAAAGGCAUGGCAGGGUAGCCAAGUCUGGAAGGGAUAAACGCUGAAGGCAUCUAAGCGUGAAGCCCCCCUUAAGAUGAGAUAUCCCCCGCAAAAGCGGGUAAGACCCCUUGAAGACGACAAGGUAGAUAGGGCAGGGGUG